Molecule: transfer RNA, 69 nt
Filed under: Corydalus cornutus (eastern dobsonfly)
Lineage: Eukaryota; Metazoa; Arthropoda; Insecta; Megaloptera; Corydalidae
Also listed under: 1 other name
Description: tRNA-Met
Rfam family: tRNA
About the family: Transfer RNA (tRNA) molecules are approximately 80 nucleotides in length.
Source: RNAcentral
AAAAAGAUAAGCUAAUAAAGCUCAUGGGUUCAUACCCCGUAUAUAAAGGUUUAAAUCCUUUUCUUUUUA